RNAcentral lists this small RNA (359 nucleotides) under Histoplasma capsulatum. RNAcentral describes it as "hypothetical RNA". RNAcentral also lists the same sequence under 1 other name. The record is from RNAcentral. Lineage: Eukaryota; Fungi; Ascomycota; Eurotiomycetes; Onygenales; Ajellomycetaceae.
CUAUCAGCUUUGAUAUUCUUUAUCUCUUUUUUUUUUUCUUUUUCUCUAUUAUACUCUCUUUCUAUCUUAUUUCUAUCUUCUUAUUUAUUUUUUUAGUAUCUUUAUUUAUUCUUUUUUAUUUAUCUCAACUAAUAUUUCUUUUUCUCUCUUCUAUCUGUCUGUUAUACUGAAGCUAUAUUAGAUUAUAUAAUUUCAUAAUAUCACAGACAGUAUUAUUUUUUCUCUACUUUAUUUUAACUUUUCUUUCUUCUUUUAUACUAUUUCUAUUUUUUUUCAGAAUAAUAAAGUAAACUAUUUUUUAAUGAACUGAGAGAAUAUUCUCUCUCUAUUUUUCUAUAAAGCCUCUUAGAUACAGCAGC